GAUGAACGCUGGCGGCGUGCCUAAUACAUGCAAGUCGAACGAGUUUUGGUCGAUGAACGGUGCUUGCACUGAGAUUCGACUUAAAACGAGUGGCGGACGGGUGAGUAACACGUGGGUAACCUGCCCUUAAGUGGGGGAUAACAUUUGGAAACAGAUGCUAAUACCGCAUAAAUACCAAGAACCGCAUGGUUCUUGGCUGAAAGAUGGCGCAAGCUAUCGCUUUUGGAUGGACCCGCGGCGUAUUAGCUAGUUGGUGGGGUAACGGCCUACCAAGGCAAUGAUACGUAACCGAGUUGAGAGACUGAUCGGCCACAAUGGGACUGAGACACGGCCCAUACUCCUACGGGAGGCAGCAGUAGGGAA
RNAcentral lists this ribosomal RNA (363 nucleotides) under uncultured Lactobacillus sp. RNAcentral describes it as "bacterial SSU rRNA". It matches the Rfam family "Bacterial small subunit ribosomal RNA", at positions 28 to 361 of the family's 1533-position model. The record is from RNAcentral. Lineage: Bacteria; Bacillati; Bacillota; Bacilli; Lactobacillales; Lactobacillaceae.